UGCGCAUGCGCAGUCGGGGCAAAUUUUUGGUUGUCAGGGCGUUGCCACGCGGAUUAUGGGAUGGGGACUCGAGUGCGCAUGCGCCGGGGAUGCCGCAUGGAAAGCCUAUAUAUAAGGAGGGGUGAACCAGGGGCCCCGGUGCGCAUGCGCGGGCCAGGGCCCGCGGGAGGGUCGCCCUGCGCAUGCGCCGGUAAAAUUCCACUGGGUGUGUGUUGUGCGCAUGCGCCCGUAUUUUUCCACCGGGGGCGGUCGGUGCGCAUGCGUCGGUAAAAUUCCACUGGAUGUGCGCCGUGCGCAUGCGCCGGUAUUUUUCCACUGGGCGGCCGCACCUAGGGAGCGCGAGCCCCGUGCCGGGCAUGGGCCGCGGCGGUGGAAAAUUACCGCUCCGCCCAUAUAGGCGGGGCAUCUGAAAACCUAUAAAACCCGGCGUGCCCGCCGCCCCCCGGCGCAGUCCGCGGCAGGGUUCCGGCCGUGCUGCGGUCCGCACGCUGCGCCCGCUCCCGCCUGCCUCCCGCCCUACCCCCCACCCUCCCCGGCCGAGGCCCGGCGCCGGUCCGUCCGCGGGCCCGUCCCACCGCCCUGGAGCACCAUCCGGGGCCGUGGGCCGGGCACCGGGCGCGGCCCGCUCCGGACCUCGGCCGGGGGUCCCUCCCCUCCCCCCGCUCACCCCCCCAUCCCGACGGCCCGGCCGGGCUGGGACCCCCGCACCGGGGUCCCGGUUCCCGUCCGUGGCCCGGGGGGACCGGACGGGGGGCUUCCCACCCCCACCCCGCUCCUCCCCGGGCUCCGGCCCGGGAUCCCUCGCUGCUCCCGGCGACCUCCGCCGGCUUCCCGGUCCACCCGCCGCGGAACGGACGGGACCCGGGGUCCGCACCCUUCCCCUCCCCCCACGGGGGGCUGGGUCGCGGACCCCGGUUCCUAGGCUCGUUCCGCGGUGGGCGACCGGGGAUCCCCCACCCAGCUCCCCUUCCCGGCCCGCCCCGCUGGCUUUUGGGCCCCUCCGGGCUUUUUUUCCGGCUGGGGGUCGCGGCGGUCGGCCGACGACGACGGUAGGUGGGCCGGGUGGACGGUGGUGGGGACGGGCGACGCCCCGGCUCGACGGCAGUCGGUCCCGGAAGGUUGGGGGCUGGGGGCCCGGUCAGGAGCUCCGGGAGCGGGGUCGACCGCGACGGCUUCCGGGUCUCGCGGCGGCUCCCUCUCGGCGGCUCCGGUUGGGCUCCCCUCCCCCCUCUCGAGGGUCCGGCCGCCAGUCGUGACCGGGGGUCACUCGGCCUAGCCGCCGGCUCUCGGGCCGCCUUAUCCUGGGCGUUGGCCGGUCCCGUGACGCUCCCCUCCCCCGCUGCUCCCCAAAAAACUCCGCCCGAACCGUCGCGGCUUGCUGGCCCUGGGCGUGGUCCCCCACUCCCCUCCCCCCAUCGGCCGCCCAGCCGGGGUCGGCGCCUCGGACCCCACCAGGCUGUGGCGUGUGUGCUGGCCGAUGCGGCGGCGAGGUUGGGUGUGGCCGGAAGCGCUCGGGGUCGACGGUGGGCCGCCAUGACACCUCGAUUGCCGUCAGUACGCCCCUCCACAAUCACCGUCCCCACACGAUGGGCCCGGCAGGUCACCCAACGUUGGUUCAGGCCCAGUCGGGUUUUUCCCCGGCACGAACGCACGUCCCCGUGGGCUCCACGCGUUUUCCACCCUUUCCUGGAGGGGUCAGGAACACCGUGAAUCCACGGGGAGGGUCCCGGCACGGGCCGAGGAGACCACGACCGUCCCACCCGGCGUGUCGACUCGUCCGAGACCCGAGAAGGGAACAGGCCCCACCUUUUUUUCCCCUUCUCCGAUUUGCCGUGGAAAACCCGUGAACCGAUACGGGUGCAGACGGCCGAAAAAAUUCGAGACGACAUUACGACGGCAGGGCGUGAUUUUCUCCCCCAUCCGACAAAACCGUGUCCCUCAAAAUUCCCCACCUUUCUCUGUUCAAAUGGCCCCGAAACUGUAAAACACCGUUUGACCGCACCCCAACCGGCGCCAUCUUGGUGACCUUCUCGACGGUUCUCUCGCUCGUCAUGCCGUUCUGAGCUCCGACAUGGCGGACGAGAGAAAAUGGCGUCGAGAGCCUAGGAGCGUUUUCGCUCCAGGCGGGUAAAAAAAUAGCACGAUAACUUUUCUGUGCUUUUUUUGAGACGUUUUAGAAGAGCUUUUUUUUUGCUCAGAGCGAAAAAAUGAUAGCCCUGAAAAUCUCGACGAGUCUGGCCGAGCGGCGCCAUCUUGGAGGAGGGGCGAGUCGCGGGCACCGCCUCGGUACCCCCUGGCCGAGGCGAGUCCGCGGUCGCCGCCUGUUCCGUGAUGCUACCUAGAGGGCGCCGUCGAGGCGACUCUUCCUGUUUUCGCCCUGAGGGCUAACGGUCGCUGACGUCAAACCAUCUCGUGCUCGCUGAGUCACAUCCGGUUGUUGACAAGCGAUGGAGGACCGCACCCAAAGUGCGCCCUCUAGUCAUCGCGCCUGACCCCUUUUAUAAACUGCUCGAAGAAAAGAACACCUUAUGUGAAAAAAUACAGAAUGAUGACAAGUUCAUCCAACACAACCGCUCAACAACGCCAUAUCUAUCAGUGUCCAAAAACUAUCUUCUAUCCUUUGAAACUAUAAAUGCUGCCUAUAUACAUAUUUAGUAUCCAAGACUCUUACCACGUAGACGAAAAGAAGUGAUACAAUGAUCUUGACGUGUAUCGUCUAUAUCGUGCUAGAUAUAUUCAGAUAAGACGCGCAAACCAUAGAUUUCUCAUCAGUAUCAUGAAAGACCUAUAGCUCUAUAUACGAACCUAGUCAUUUUAGGACAGCCGCCGGAGAAGCCGACGAGGGAUCGGGCGGGUGCAGCCAGAACCUCACGCCCGAUCCCGCCUCCGGUAGGCGAUUUGCAUCUGUUUGGUAAAAAGCUCAUAAGUCUGUAUGUGACCUAUAUAUAUAUUAUACGCUAUGUACACCGAACUGUCGCUGUUGUAUAAGAAGAAAAAACUCUCCAUAUUUAUAUCGUCUGAAUUUUUGCUUGAUAGACACGUGUUUGGAACUCUGUCCCCCCACGUUUUCACUGUGUAUAACAAAAAUAUGUGUUUCUCAAAAGAUCUUGAGGUGUUUGAAAACGGGGGAAACCUGCGUUUGGGUGCGCUAAGCCCCGGACUGGGACGUAGCCGGCGUCCGGCACCUAUAUUUUUCUAUUUUUUUACAAAAUAUAUGAUGAACCAAGAAUAAAACUCUAGCUCUCGUCUAUUUUUAAUAUGCUCUACUUAGAACCUUUUUAAUGACAGAAUGAACUCCAUGUUAUACGCUCUUUAUAUAGUUUCUCUGCACUAACCUUUAAAACCGUAUCCUUCCCUGUUGUACAAAUCAUCUUUUGAUACACAAUGAUGACCUGAUAUCCCUCCAUAUAUAUGAUCGGAUAUUAUUCCGUUAGACUUGUCCUCCUUUUUUUUUCCUCAUCUCCUGUAUCUGGAGAUAUAUGUUGACCACCACCGCCAUGACCACCAAAAAGCUAGCCGUCACGACUAGAAAUGUGUAGGAUUCGGACUUUCCGUUCGAGAAGAAAGACCGCGUCUCUGGACGCUCUUUUUGUCGGUCUGAAUCGACCCGGGAUACGUAAGAGAGCGGCCCUACAUCGGGGGGCGCUCGAGACCGACGACGUUCCAUCUGACCAGAAAAAAAAAAGGCACCCCUCGGUAGCGACCUCUCACCAUCGUUUGCCCGUCCGCCCGUCCUUCGUAGCCAUCAUCAUCAUCUCAGGCUCUAUCGGUACCAUCGUUGUCAUCUGAAAAAAACUGCCUCACCCACCUGCGUAAAAACACCAUCUUUCCGGAGGUGCGGUAAGACGGGCAAAUACGGUCGUGCCGAGGCAAAAAAAACGCACCAUCGACACCACACCCUCAUGAGCACCACCUGUCGGUGUUGGUCGUCCUCCAUCGUUCUCUACGAACAUCUCGACGCCCGGGUGACGGACGACGGCAAGACGUCCCGGAGAAGACGGUGUUCUCUCGGGCGGUACGCUCUCUGGAUCUAUAAUAUCUAUAGUAGCUAAACGAGACUGUGAGUACGACGAACCACAUCAUCUUUUUUUUAUGUUGCUUCUUUAGAAAAUGACUUAUGUCGACGACACUCGGCAUCAGCCAUCUCGUGAAACACGCUCGCUUUUCGUCUCUCCAAGGAACACUGGGUCCGCUGAAAGGGACCGUGUACCGACCAAAGCAAAAAACACACACGUAGUAACAUGAUCAACCACGUCUGAAUGACACGAAAACACAAUCGUAUAACGCUCUAUUCAUGGAACGAACUUGGAAUAAAAAAACCAUCGCAGGCCAGAGGCUAAGCCGAAACCGUCCGGGGAAGCGGGCGCGAGUUUUCCGACUUAGUCUCUGGUGCUCGUUGAGCCUCUUUUUUUUUUCUGAUUCUCUGAAGAAUCACCGUCACAGCCCUAUGACGCGAAAUCAAUUGCUAGAACAUAAACGUUCUCAACAGGUAUGAAAUGAACAAACUAGAUGAUGCUAUAACCUUAUAUUGUGUGUAUAUAGAUAGGUGUGAAAUUUGUAGGAUAAAAAGUGUCGUUGUAUGAUGCACAACGAUCGUGAAACUGGAGACUGUAGCUCUCUACCGAAUGCAAAUACACAAAUGACAUCGAUUCCCGUCCCCACAUAAAGAAAUGUGCUUUACUGUGAAAGAAUGAAGAAGAUUCUUGUUCCUCGUACGACGGGGCCCUCGCUCGUCGUGCCUCUUCCCCCCUCCGGGAGAGGGGACGUCGGGGCCCUCCGUCGCACCGGGCCGAAGCCAGUGAAAUGUUUACUACACUGUCAUCAGAAUAUAUGAUGUAUAUUAUUUCCUCCAAACUCCUCACCAUAGCCACCAAUUCGCAUCACUUAAGAAAGUAGUAGCAACCGCGGCGGCGGCGACCGGCCGGUCGUCGUCUCCUCGUCCUCAAAUGUUGUACAUGUGCAGAAAAAUGUGUAAAUACGUGUUAUUUAUCCCAUGCGUCUUGUACAUAGAUAUAUGUUUUUAUAUACGCUAUUUAUACUUUAUAUAUCCUUUUGCAUAACCAUAGACAGUCAAGGAUUUUAAUGAUUUGCUCAUCCGCCUUUGAGCCAUCGCUUAGGAGUUAGUUCCUCUAUGUUCUCGGCCCACCUUUUCGACUACAGUAGCAAACCCUUGUACUACCACCCCGAUAAAAACCACAUCAUCAUCGUCACCACGACCUGGAAACGACACACGUUCCCCCCCAAUCUUGGGCAUGUGUAUAUAUAUAUAUAAAGAAUGGGAGGGAGAGGACGUGGGGCUCGAGAAGAAAUAAACGCCAAGCUCGAUUCGAACC
This 5333-nucleotide long non-coding RNA is filed under the name Human betaherpesvirus 5. RNAcentral's name for it is "RNA4.9". Lineage: Duplodnaviria; Heunggongvirae; Peploviricota; Herviviricetes; Herpesvirales; Orthoherpesviridae. The record is from RNAcentral.